Molecule: long non-coding RNA, 431 nt
Organism: Ostrea edulis (European flat oyster)
Lineage: Eukaryota; Metazoa; Mollusca; Bivalvia; Ostreida; Ostreidae
Exons: 3
Source: RefSeq, a predicted model, not a curated record
GUAGACAAAUUAAAAACAUGAUACGAAUAUACUCAAACAAAAUAGUGACAAAACUGAAUUCAUUUCUUUUGCGCCAAAACGCAAAAUCAAGGAGACAAUCAUUCGGCACUGACAUUAUUCACGAAGCAGCUUUCGUUAAAAUCUUGGAUGCUUAUUUUGAUAAACCACUCACCAUGGAAAAGCACCGUAACAAAGUGUCUCGAUCAUGUUACAUGCAGCAAAUUCCGGUUCACGAGGGAAAACCGAACUCAGUACGUUUACCGUGAACAGAAAGCACAAAGGCUGGAACAUACAUUUUUUGAAAGAUGGACCAUUAAGACAAAGAAUGUUGGACCAUUUUCUACCUUUCAUCACUAGCAUUAUCUAUGUGUACACUUCCAUUAUGUGAUGUACUUCCUUUCGAAAUAAAAAUAAUCUCAACUUUUUAAAAA